UCUCCUAAGGCUAAAUACUCUCUAGUGACCGAUAGUGAACCAGUACCGUGAGGGAAAGGUGAAAAGCACCCCGGAAGGGGAGUGAAAUAGAACCUGAAACCGUGUGCUUACAAGUAGUCAGAGCCCGUUAAUGGGUGAUGGCGUGCCUUUUGUAGAAUGAACCGGCGAGUUACGAUUUGAUGCAAGGUUAAGCAGUAAAUGUGGAGCCGUAGCGAAAGCGAGUCUGAAUAGGGCGUUUAGUAUUUGGUCGUAGACCCGAAACCAGGUGAUCUACCCUUGGUCAGGUUGAAGUUCAGGUAACACUGAAUGGAGGACCGAACCGACUUACGUUGAAAAGUGAGCGGAUGAACUGAGGGUAGCGGAGAAAUUCCAAUCGAACCUGGAGAUAGCUGGUUCUCUCCGAAAUAGCUUUAGGGCUAGCCUCAAGUGAUGAUUAUUGGAGGUAGAGCACUGUUUGGACGAGGGGCCCCUCUCGGGUUACCGAAUUCAGACAAACUCCGAAUGCCAAUUAAUUUAACUUGGGAGUCAGAACAUGGGUGAUAAGGUCCGUGUUCGAAAGGGAAACAGCCCAGACCACCAGCUAAGGUCCCAAAAUAUAUGUUAAGUGGAAAAGGAUGUGGCGUUGCCCAGACAACUAGGAUGUUGGCUUAGAAGCAGCCAUCAUUUAAAGAGUGCGUAAUAGCUCACUAGUCGAGUGACACUGCGCCGAAAAUGUACCGGGGCUAAACAUAUUACCGAAGCUGUGGAUUGUCCUUUGGACAAUGGUAGGAGAGCGUUCUAAGGGCGUUGAAGCAUGAUCGUAAGGACAUGUGGAGCGCUUAGAAGUGAGAAUGCCGGUGUGAGUAGCGAAAGACGGGUGAGAAUCCCGUCCACCGAUUGACUAAGGUUUCCAGAGGAAGGCUCGUCCGCUCUGGGUUAGUCGGGUCCUAA
Molecule: ribosomal RNA, 930 nt
Filed under: Staphylococcus aureus
Lineage: Bacteria; Bacillati; Bacillota; Bacilli; Caryophanales; Staphylococcaceae
Description: partial 23S ribosomal RNA
Rfam family: Bacterial large subunit ribosomal RNA
Source: RNAcentral